RNAcentral lists this small RNA (108 nucleotides) under Mixta calida. RNAcentral's name for it is "partial RtT sRNA". It matches the Rfam family "RtT RNA", at positions 1 to 113 of the family's 130-position model. From Rfam's summary of the family: This family represents a bacterial cis-regulatory element known as RtT RNA. The exact function of RtT is unknown although it is thought that it may be involved in changing the cellular response in relation to amino acid starvation. The record is from RNAcentral. Lineage: Bacteria; Pseudomonadati; Pseudomonadota; Gammaproteobacteria; Enterobacterales; Erwiniaceae.
CAUCUUCCCGUUGGGAGAAGGUGAGAAGCUUCGACAAGGUUCGCGUCGAGCAACGCGAGACAACGUGCGCAGCACGGCCCGCAGGGCGAGGAGCGCAGCGACGAGUCA